GGGAUAAAGAGGUCAGUCUAUCUAAAGCUAGCAAAUUGUUGGGAGAUACUAAGGAAAUCUAAAGCUGAAAUGCUAUUGGUGGCCCUUGAUUCCUGAACUCUGAUCACAUCUUAGAUGGUCCUCUGCCUUGCUCAUUUUCCCAUUUCCAUCUCCUCUUCCCCUCCUAGAUCAUGAGUGUCCUCUUUAGACAGUCUGAGAACUCCCUGCAGCCGGGCCCCACUGCCACACACACCCAUAUGAGCCCAUCACCGGGAUUUAAGUCCUUUCAUCCUAUUCCCUCAGACCAUUCCAGGGAAAAACUGUCCUCAGUCCAACCCCCAGACUCCAGCUACAAUACUGUGGGGGUUAGACUACUAUUCACAGAUGGGGUGGGCCAUUUGGGGGGCUGCUUUUUGGUGGUUGGCUUUUGGUUUUGUUUGUUUUUACUUACUGGCCAAAUAGGAUCCAGUUCUUCUUUCCACCCUCAGAGCCAUUUUUAUGAACGCCAUAUGGUUCCAUUUUGUACUGACAGGAACUGGGGACCACAGGCACAUAGCACACACCACAGCUACUGUGACUAAUAGCCCUGGCAGCUGUGCCCUCCUAACAGUCUGGGUGUGCAGUAUGAGUGAUGUCCAAAACCAGCAAGAUUGGAUUGGGCCUCCCGAUCCCUGGUCGUGAUGACACCACUGCACCUCUAGUCCUGUCUCUCCGGUCCCUUGAUCUUUCCUAUAUCCAUCUCCUUCUUUUAAUUCAGAUCAUCUCUUGCUGAACAGUUGCACCAGAUGUCUCUCUGCUUUCAAUCUUGUCUCUUUCAACCCAUCAACCAAAUGGCCACCAUUGGCCAUCUUUACCAGCUUAGGUCAUGUUCUGUGGCUCUUGGCUUAACUUCGUCCUUCCCUAUUGCCUAGAGGAUGGCAUUCUCUCUGUUAAUGGAGCAGAGCAUUUCACAGCCUGGUUCCCUACCCCUAGGUGUUCCUGCUCUGCUUCUGCAGGUGCCCAGCCAGAGGAGCCCACCUGUCCUCCCGGAAGAGAUGGCCCCUUUCACUUGAGAUUCCAGGAGAUUGCCCAGGGAGAAGGUGUGGAGGGAGGGGUUUUGAGAAGGAAUAUGAAGCCUCCAGUGGUGAGCAGUACCAGCAAGACAACCAAGAAGAGGCAGUUGGGUUGGUCAGUUAGGAGGUCUUGUCAUCCAUCUUGGGGUUGGCAGAGCAAUAGAGACAGACAUCACAUCACCAUGGGAAGAGAAGAGAAUAAGAGGAAGAAGUGGAGAUGAGAGGAACAGGUCACCUCUUCCAACUAUGAAGGGAAAGAGGUGGAUGAGUGGAAGUGACCCGUUUGGACUGGUCUUUUUUUAUGUAGCUAAUAUUUGGCCUGUGCUUUUCUGGAUCAGGCCCUGAUGAGCAUUUUGUCAACAAUAUCUCCCUGAAACCUUAAGAGAACAUCCUAGGGUUGACGUGGUUUUGCCCACUAUACAGAAGAGCUUCAAAAGAUGAAGGCACUUUCCCAAGAUGGGGGGCAGAGCUGGGAUUUGUGUCCCAUUCUGUUGCCCUUCAGAGCCUCACUUUCACCACUGUCCUUGUCUUCCCUGUAGUCAUGAGGGGAAGAAGGAGGUGGAGGGCUGCCUGCAGUUAGGGAGCUGGGGCAAAGGCACCAGGGAGGCUCCCGGUGCUCAGAUAGGACUGGAAGUCUGGGACACAUCAUUUUUCAGAGGGGGAAGAGGCCAGGGAAGAGAGAGGCUAUUUUUAAUAGCCAAAUAGAUAUGAGCCCAUUAAAAACCAGGAGGAAAGGAAUAAAAUGUUUAAUAAAAUCUUUAAGUAUCUGAGUGGAGGACCUCUCUAAGCUGAAAAGCAAGGAAAUGACACCAAGAAGAGAAAGGCCAACAGCGAACAGGGAUAAGUGAUGGCCUGUGUCCCAAGUGGCCUGGAGUGGACGGCACUAGAUGGACAGAUAGGGGCUUAGUCUUUCUUUUUUUUUUUUCGGUGGGGGCGGGCCUCACAUACUCAUGGUAUUACCCAUUUAGGGUCUUGAGGUUUGAGGACCCUAUGUAGACUUACCCUCAGUCUGUUGGGUGAGUUUGCUUCUAUCAUCUUGGAUUCUUGAUUAUCCCUAUUUUUUAGAGGAGAGAACAAACUUCAGUUCUUCCAGAAAGAACUGGCAAAAAUAGGCCUGUACUCCUCUGACUUCACUGUCUUCUUUACGCACCAUGCCACUUUCCUGAACAAUAUACAAGUUUACCAUGUAAUUAUUUUAGAACCCAGGGUCCACAUAUUUUUGUGGUCAAGAUUCGACGGGCAAAGUCCUCACACUGAGUUUUCCCAGCAAGGAUGCUUUCCACUCACUUGCUGGAUGGCUGUGGGUCACCUCCCCUCACUGGGCCUUGGUUUCCCCGUCUGUGAAAUGAGGUAGUUGGAUUAGAUAAUUCCACAGUUCCCUUCCAGCUCUAGCAUUACCCUCAGAUACCCUGGUGCCUAGAGCAGUAAUUGAACAAGGAGGAUGGGGACCCCAGGUUCUGGGUCAAGAACUCAUCUUGCAGCAUGGAGGAAUCGUGAUGAUGGCUGCAGCCCCCAGAAGGUGAACUUGGCAGGAGCUGGCUGAGAUGAUUUUUCUGCUGAUGGUGAAAUGUGCUGGCAGAGUCUAUACAGGUAGGUUGGUGUCCUGUUCAGGUGGUAUGUGCUCUGAGAAGGCUGGGACCAUAAAUGCUGUAAUCAGCCGGGAAUAGCUAAGCUCAGAGCCAGAGCCAAGAAGGAAAGGGUUACCCAAAAUUGAGGCAUGAACUGUUGAUUCACUAAAAAGAGAAAAAGUCCAUUCCAACUUCACCUCAGAGCACACACCCAAAUUCAAAAAUUAUUUUCAAAGGUCAAAAGGAAAAAUGAGCCCAUUAAAAACCAGAGGGAAAAGGAAUAUUUAACAAGUGACUGAAUGAGGGAGCCCAUUUAAGCUAAAAAGCAGCAAAAUGACAUCAAGAAGGCAAAGGCCAACCAAUUUGACUACAUUACACACACACACACACACACACACACACACACCUGAAGAUAAAUAUGAUCCUUGCCCUUGGGAGUUCAAAGAGUUAAGAAAAACACACAGACAGACACUAAAAUGAUACAUAGGAAGGAGAAGGCCAGAGAGGUGCCUGGGACAUGGAAGCAUGGGCAGCUGGGGUUGGUGGUGCAGGUGUGAAAUUUCAUGGGAAUAUCCAAGGAGGUUCCUAGAAGAGGUGACUGGAUGGGUAGGAGUUACUCAAGUAGAAGGCAGAGGCAGAGGUGAGAGCCAUCAUGGAUGAACUCAGACAGCUGGGGAUUGCUGAAGCAUGAAAUGAGAGGCUAGGGGUGGAGAAAGCAGAACCAGAUCACAUAGUGUUACUAUGUCUAAUUUAAGACUUGGGUCUUCAAUUGCAGCAGGGAGCCCCUGAAGCAUUUUGUGCAAGCAGGUGCCAUGGUAGGAUUUCUCUUUUGAGGUGAUUACUCUGGUUGCUUGGAGAAAUUUGGAGGCGUGUGGGCCAGAGAGGAGAUGAUAGAGGGGCCCUGGAGCUCUGGGAUUAAGUGUAGAGGUGAAGGGAUUAGCAGUGUUGGUGAAAAGGGACAAAAGUAAAUUAUGUACAUUUUAGCAAGUAACCUGAUCUCCAUGUUCUUUGGGAGGCCUUUUCUCUGCCCUCUGGGUACUGACUCCAGCUCUAAUUAGCACGGGUUUGUCUGCCUCGUGGCUAGGGCCAUGUCUUUCUCAUUUUCUUGUACCUUUCAGCACCUAGCAACAGGCAGCCAGCUAGGUAGGGGCAGAAUAAUUAUUUUCUGCUUGAAAUCCAGUGUCUGAAAUAGAGAUUCAGAAAUUUUUCUUUGUAUCAAAAAGACUUUGUGACAAUAUCCAGGGAGCAAUGAAAUAGGUAAGGUCCAGGUCACAGGCUUGAAUGGGACAUUCAGGGUCUCAGUAGCAGUUCUAUUUGUUGGUAUUGCCUAGACAUCAAAGAAUUCUAUUUCUUCGCUAUUUGGACAGAAGUCAAAGUCCAGAGAGAGGCUUGGUUUAGCUGGCUGAGCUUGGGCCUUGUGCCAUCCCCGAUAGGACCUGGGUGGUAAGAGGCAGGACCUGGAGGAGGGGCCUCCAUAGCUUCCAUGUGAGAGAACGGCCCAGGUCCCACCACAGCCACAUAAGAUAGAAAAUUUCCCUAAAAGUAAUAAGGGGCUUCAGGGAGGAAUAAGGCAUGCUAAAAAGCCAAAACUCCCAGAUAUCCAUUAGAAGAAGUAGCCAGUUCAGAGGCAGGAGACUUCCAGGUAAGAGAGGGGAAGGCCUGAAGUAGACCAGUGGGGAUGGAGAGAGAUCAGAACUUGUGGUAGAUAAAAACCAGAAAUAAUUAGUGAGUACUUAUCUGUGAGAGUGAGAGAGAAGGUCAAGCCAAAGGUAAUUCCCAUGUGUCUUGGUUUUGUUUGUUUGUUUGUUCGUUCAUAGAGACAGGGUCUCACCAUGUUGCCCAGGCUGAUCUCCAUCUCCAGGGCUCAAGCAAUCUUCCCACUUUGACCUCCCAAAGUGCUGCAAUUACAGGCAUGAGCCACCAUGCCCAGUCCCGUGUAUCUUGAGUGGAGUCCUGGGUGGAUGGUGGGGGCUCAGGAAGAGAUUUAGCUGGAAGCACUAGCCCAGGGCUGUCACCACUCAGAGUAAUGGGGACCCUAAGCAUAAGUGAGAUUACCAGGGAGAGUGUGUAGAGAAAAAAUGGGAGAGGGCUCAGGUCAGAAUCAUGAGUCAUAGUGACAUUUGAGGAGCCAGGUGUGGGCAGGCAAAAAAGGAGAAAUAAAAGGAAGGGCCUGAGAGAUGCGACAAACAACCAGGAGAGGGGGUUGCCAUGACAACCAAGUUAGGGAAGAGUUUCAAGGAGAAAGUAAUCAACACUGUCAAAUGCAGCAGAGAAUUCCAAUAAGAUAGAGAAUUUUUCCUUUGGAUUUCAUAAUUAGUAAGUUUUGAUGGCCUUAAUAAGAGCAUGUUGAGGGAGUGAUGGCCUAGGCUGGAAUAAUGGUGAGAUGUGAGAGGACAUGGAUCUGUCACUAGGAGUCCUCUAAGGAGUCCAGAAGGGAGAUUUGGAGAUGUGAAGGGUAGGGGCUGGGAGGCUGAGGCUAGGAAAGAUGAGCAGGUGUAUAGGCUCAGAGAAGAAGAAUCCUCUGAGAGCACUGAAAAGAAAGAGCCGGGAGGUGUCUCAGCAGAAAGACAGGGUGGUCAGCAGUGGGUGUGUGCAGAGAGGUCAGGAGGACCAGGGCAAUCCCUGAACUACUCCAGUGUGCACCUGCACAACCUCCAUGGUGCCUCUGGAAUUGGGUAGCAUGGUGGCCCUGCUGAUGAGCACCCCAAGGGGCCAUUGGGGGACCUCUGAGAAUCUCUGCCAGAGCAGUUUGGGUGGGAGUCGAUUAAGGAAAGAAGCAGCAAGAUCCAGGACUUUUAAUCUUAAAAGAGAGAGAAAUGCUGGCAGAUGAACAUUCUGGCGUAACCCCAUUACCUACUCAUAGAGGAGGAACUGGAAGCCAGAGAGGGAGAUGCCUUAUUGACACAGAGCACAAGUGGCAGGAGCUGGCUUCAGACCUCAGUCCAUCCGGUGUGGCAGUCCCUCUUCCCAGGACCAGGUGGAGCUGGAGAGAAGGAGGAAGAGGAGUCUGUGAGGUCCAGAUGGAGAUGCUCGGCAGGCCCUUUCCAAAGGUGGGAGGUGAGGUCGGCCUGGAACCCUACUGGAUGCUUAAGUGUCCUGCCGCACUGCUGAUGAAAGCAGGUCCCCACCGCAGUGUAUAUACAUUGUGUGUUUGCAUCUAAAACGUCUAUAGUUGUUUGAAAUGUUUAAAUCUUUAACCCAUCUGAGAUGUGUUUUCAUGUAUGGUGUGACACAGAGCUCUAAUUUGCUCUUUUUGCAGAUAUCCAGUUUGCUAAGCACCAUUUAUUGUUCCAACACCAUCUUUUCUCUCAAUUCCCUGUCUAGACUCCGGUUCUGUUGAUCUAUUUGUCUAUUUCUGAGCCAAUAGUUUGUGAGUGGAAAAACUUUCCCUUUUUUCAUUUUGCUUUCCAAAUUUUAAUCAGUUUACUAAUCACUAUGCUUCAUUCACAGACACACACACAGCAAAUGUGCUUUGUCCCUGGGCACACAAAUGAAAACACAGCACACAUGUAAAUCAGAGCUAAUUGGCUGAAAAUGAAUUAGAAUUUUUGAAUUAAAUUUUAAUUAUACAAGUAAUACAUGAAUACAUUUUCCUUUAAAUAAAAUUAGAGCAUUUUAGGUAAAGAAGUCUCUACUGGCCUCCCCAGCCUGACCUCAGGCCCCUUCCCCACUUUAGAGGCAGCUGCUGUUAGGCAUUUGCUGUUGAUCCAAAAUGUUCUCCUAUGCGCAUUGAAACAUGUCCUGUGUUCUAUUGUUGCUUUUGUUUGCUUGCAUAGAUGUGGUGGUGUACACACUGGAGGUGCUGCUCCUGAGCUCAGGGCACCUUACGGGACUCUCCUCAUGUCGCGUGUCACCUGCCGCAGCUGGGCUGGCAACCAGAACUGAUUGCUUAUUGAUCGACUAUUAAAAGGCUUCCAGUCUUGUUUCAAUAAGACAAACCACAUCAAUACAAUACCGAGCCUUUGAAUUCAUGAAUACAGUAGAGCUCUACGUUUAUUCUUAUUAUCUUGUAUGUCCUUCACUCAUGCACUGUUGUUCUCCCCAUAAAGAACUUGCCCAUUUCCUAAUGGGUUUAUUCCUAUACUUUUUAUUAUUGUUGUGAAUUAGUUUUCUCCAGCCCCCUUUUUUGUUUUGCUUUUGCUUGCUACAUUUCUUUUUCAUCUGCUUACUAAUCACUCUACUUCAUUCACAGGCACACACAAAGUAAAUAUUCCUCCUCCCUGGGCACAAACAUGCAAGCACAUCCAAACACACGGAGCCCACGUUAUUGGCUGAAAAUAAAUAGUAAUUUUUUAAAAAAUUGAAGUCGAAUGACACAAGCAAAACAUGAAUACGUUCCCCUUUUUUAAAAAAGAGAACAUUGCAGAUGAAGCUGGAGUCCCUUUUGGCCACCCACUGCCACCCUAUUCCCUUCCUCCUCUCCAGAGGUAACCACAGUAAUGGGCUCAAUGUGGACUUUUCUAGACGUUUCUAAAAACUUACAUAUAUAGAUACCCAGAGGAAAUAUAUGGCUAGGAGUUCGAGACUAGCCUGGGCAACAUUGUGAAGCCCCAUCUCUACAAAAAAUACAAAAGUUAACCAGGCGUGGUGGCAUGCACCUGUGGUCCCAGCUGCUCAAGAGGCUGAGGUGAGGAGAUUGCUUUAGCUUGGGAGGUUGAGGCUUCAGUGAGCUACUACCAUGCCAUUCUACUCCAGCCUGGGUGGCAGAGUGAGACCGUGUCUCGAAAAAAGAAAAGAAAAAGAGGGAUGCACUUGGAGAAGUUUCUUGGCUGCCCCCUUUCUUUCUGCCUAGGUGCUGUUGAGUGAAAACAUAGUGCUUGGAGCCCUGACAGCUAUCUAUCUUGUGACCAGGAGGGGAAGGCCAGGAGACUCAUGGUUCUCUGUUCACUCAGAUCUCAGAUACCUGGAACCACUGACUUUUGAGCCAGGAUGGUCUCGAACCCCUGACCUCAGGUGAUCUGCCCAUCUUGGCCUCUCAAAGUGCUGGGAUCACAGGCGUGAGCCACCAUGCCUGGCCGUGGCUGUUCUUAAGCAGGGAGACAGGUGUGAUCACUUUCAUUUAGUUAAGUUUCUUUGCCAGUGGAAGAAGCUCAACUGAAACCAGCUCAGGCACAGAAGGAACUUAAUUGGCUUCUAUACGCAAACCACAGGCCAAGCUAGGUUCAGUUGACCUUCCGGUCCCCCGGGGCCAGGGACUUAACUGGCAGCCUGCCCCUCUCCCAUCUCCAUGUCUCCACGUCUCUUUGCCUGCCAGCUCCCUCUCUCAGGGAUGCCUCUUCCACACACUGGCGUUCGUGACUGCCAAUGUUUCACACCUCUCAGGUUCAUGACCACAAAGAGAUCGAGGUAGGAGCGCAGGAACUUGGUUAAGCAUCAGGGCUACUUGCUUACUCAUUGUUUUGUCUAAUUUCUCUGUCUUCAGUGUCCUCACAUAGGAAAUGGGGAUAACAACAGCACCAGCUUAAUGCUGUGAGGGUCAAAGGAGAUGAUGUCCAUCAAGUACUUACCUCGGGGAUGGACACUAAGUGCUCCAUACAUGUUAUGAGCUCUCUCUGUUCCCAAGUCCAGAAAUCUAGACAAAAGCUUCCAUUGGCCCAGUUGAGUUGGGGUUCACCUCUGGCAAAUCAAUGAUGGCCAUUAAAGUGGGUUGUGCAAUAAAUGAGAAGGUGAAUUUCAAAGCAAAUAGGUUGGGGUGCAGAAUGAUUUCCAAGAAGGAUUGGCGCAGUUCUAGAAAAAGAACAGAGGUCAUCCCAUCACCACCGUGUUACAAAGACAAACAGGACCCUGGAGGACACCUCCCAGCCACCUUCUCCCACCAGGGGUCCUCAGCCUCUCUCCAGCCCAUGCCAGGAGCUUGUGUUCUCUCAGGCAACACCUGAGGAGCCAGGCAACAGUCCCUUCUGCUCUGGGAUACCUCAAAUUUACUCUGGGAGCUCUAGUAUCUACUAUGAGCUACAUCUCUUUGUGAUUCCUUUAUUCCCACUAGCUGGUCAAACUUUUAUUUCCUUUUAGGCAGAAAAACAGCUUCUGUAUUCUUCCCUGUUUACCAUUCUGGCAUCAAUUUCAAGUGCUCAGUCCCUCAAGCUCUUUCCUCUUUACAAAAGCCCGGCUACUGCAACAAAGCAUCCUGUCUGCUGUAAGUUUCAAGAGACUCUUUGAAACUACUGACCAUCUUUCUC
Molecule: long non-coding RNA, 8778 nt
Filed under: Homo sapiens (human)
Lineage: Eukaryota; Metazoa; Chordata; Mammalia; Primates; Hominidae
Description: non-protein coding lnc-BLCAP-1:5
Source: RNAcentral